RNAcentral lists this unclassified non-coding RNA (240 nucleotides) under soil metagenome. RNAcentral describes it as "partial contains 5.8S ribosomal RNA, internal transcribed spacer 2, and large subunit ribosomal RNA". The record is from RNAcentral.
AAGACUAUAGACCUGCGGAGUACCUGCGGAAGGAUCAUUAAUGUUACCUCAUCCAACUUGCUUCUGGUAUUCAAUUUUAUUGGGUACCAGCAAGCAAAGCACCCGUGAAAAGGUUAAAGUCCUUAACAGCAUCCAGCCUCGCUGGACCUGCUGUUUUAAAAAAGCACCUCUUAAAUGAAUCACGUCUAAUGAAUGAGCGCUUUUUUCUAACGAAAUAAGCGCGAUUUUAUACCGUAAUUU